GGAGAGGUGGCCGAGUGGCUGAAGGCACUCGCCUGCUAAGCGAGUAAGGGGUGCAAGCUCCUUCGCGGGUUCGAAUCCCGCCCUCUCCG
This 89-nucleotide transfer RNA is filed under the name Actinomycetes bacterium. RNAcentral's name for it is "Actinobacteria bacterium tRNA-Ser". It matches the Rfam family "tRNA". Rfam says of the family: Transfer RNA (tRNA) molecules are approximately 80 nucleotides in length. Their secondary structure includes four short double-helical elements and three loops (D, anti-codon, and T loops). RNAcentral also lists the same sequence under 3 other names. The record is from RNAcentral. Lineage: Bacteria; Bacillati; Actinomycetota; Actinomycetes.